UCCGUAGGUGAACCUGCGGAAGGAUCAUUAAAUUCAGUAGUUUACUACUGUUUUGAGGGAAGCGGAAACUCGCCCGGCUGCUUCGGUAUGCCUGGCUGAGGAGUACGCCCCCUCUUUACACCCUUGUCUUUUUGCGUACUCAUGUUUCCUCGGCGGGCUUGCCCGCCGGUUGGACAAAUAAUAACCUUUUUAAUCUUCAAUCAGCGUCUGAAUAAUUAUAAUAAUUACAACUUUCAACAACGGAUCUCUUGGUUCUGGCAUCGAUGAAGAACGCAGCGAAAUGCGAUAAGUAGUGUGAAUUGCAGAAUUCAGUGAAUCAUCGAAUCUUUGAACGCACAUUGCGCCCCUUGGUAUUCCAUGGGGCAUGCCUGUUCGAGCGUCAUUUGUACUCUCAAGCUCUGCUUGGUGUUGGGUGUUUGUCUUUGCUUUGUGCUCAGACUCGCCUUAAAUGUAUUGGCAGCCGAUAUAUUGGUUUGAAGCGCAGCACAAUUUGCGAUUUAGGCCUUUAGUAUUAGCAUCCAUCAAGUAUAAUUAACACUUUUGACCUCGGAUCAGGUAGGGAUACCCGCUGAACUUAAGCAUAUCAAUAAGGCGGGAGGGGGAAGGUCGGACUGGCCAAGGGCACACAGGGGGGGGAUA
RNAcentral lists this ribosomal RNA (639 nucleotides) under uncultured fungus. RNAcentral's name for it is "eukaryotic LSU rRNA". The stretch from base 229 to 382 matches the Rfam family "5.8S ribosomal RNA". The record is from RNAcentral. Lineage: Eukaryota; Fungi.